UAUAUAUAUAUAUAUAUAUAUAUAUUUACUUAUGUGAUACAAAAGUAGUUAAAAGUUUUAAAGUAACUUUUGACAUGAAUGUUAGAAAUCUCAUGACAGUUGUUUCUUGAUGGUUUGUUUCAGUUGUUAUAAGCUUAAUUAUCAUGCCUUUACAUUCCUCUUACACCUUUUGGCUAUGAUUUGAAACAGUUUUUGUAAUAAUUUUGUUUUUAGCAAUAUAAACUAUUGCCAUUUAAUUUUAAAUGAGUUUCUUUUACCAAUACAAUAAGUGCAAUAAUUACUUUUAAAACUUUGUCUUCCAGUCUAUUCAUAUUUUGCUUGUUUUACCCAAGUUUUGUUUGUAUAGGAUUUAACUCAAGUUUGUUUCAUUACUACUAUGGACUUCAUUAUUUCUUGACUAUUGUAACCAAUAUGAUUUUAUUUAUUAGUGAUUAUUGUAGACAUCUAUUAAAUUUGAUCUCUUAGUGAGCCUGUAAGCCAAUUUCUCAGAUCAUAUCUUGUAAUAGAUUUUACGACUUUAUGGCUUUGUUCCUAAACAGUUAUUUAUAUAUUAUAUAUUUUGAACUUAUUAAACUAAUUAAAAUUAAUUUAAAAGCUCUGUAUAUACUAAUUAAUGAAAGGCUCUGCUACUUGUUUGUUUCUUUUCAAAAUAGUGGGCUGGGCAAAGGAGGAAAAAGAAGACAAUCAUUGUCUCAAUUGACUUGUGAAAGUUAUGAACAAAAACCCUGUUACUGUUGUGGACAUUAAUAGAGAAUACAAUGACAGAUUGUUCUUGUAUUCACGUACUUUGUAAGAAAUAGACAAAUCAAACUGUGGGUAAAGUCAAGGCUGAAAUCCUCUCUUCAAAGAACUCUGGACAAAAACUCUGUGCUCUGUGAGUGCAGUGAAUGCAUGUCCUCAUACAGGUAAAGAACAUAGGCCUAUAUCUUUCCAGAUGAGUCAAAAUGAAAAUCAGAAAGUCCGCGACUGUCAAAAAGUAUAUGAACACUAUCUCCUAUCCACAGUGGGACUACUGUGAAAAAAAAACAAAAAAACUUUGGACUCAAAGUAUCAAGGUAAAAUGAUUAUUUUGAAUCAGUCAUGUGAUAUUUAAAUGAAAAGUGCAAAUGUAAUGAAGAAAUAUAUGAUCAACAAAAAAUGUUGACCUUAGCUCAUUUUUUUUUUAUUAGUUGAUACAAAGAAGCAAAUUGAGUUAAUCUGUGUGAGAGAUUUAUUUUUGAUUUUCUUACAAAGAAUGGCUAAUGUUGCUAUUUUUGUUUUUGUAAUAUUUAAUCCUAAUUAUUGGAGUUUGAUAAUUUGAUAAUUUACUCUUUCGUUGAAAUAAUUGCUUCUAGUACAAAGUUAAUUUAUUUUAUAUUCCAGUUUACAGUAUAACAUUGUAUGUUUUUGUGAAAGUCAUUACGGUGAAAGAUUGCCUGGGUCAGCCUGUGAUAGUAAUAUAUAAGAAAGUCAUCAUUCAUUGAACAGUAAGAUUUUUAUCAGAGAAUGUGUCAUUGUCAGAAAUAGUUCAACUGUUUAUACACAUGUUUUGACCACUAUGUUCAUUCUUAUGUAGUUGAAAAUCAAACUCUUUGGAAUCAAAGUCUUACCUGUGUACACAUUUAUUGAUUGAUUCACAAUGUAUUUUAGUUCUUUGAUUUCUCUUUAUUAUUUACUUUUUUUUUUACCCAACAAGCAAUUUUCUUUUUUUAAAUUAAAAAUAAGAAACAUUCUACAAGGUAUUCUACUCAAUACUCUUUUUAGUUAAGACAAUUCUUUGCCUGCUUUUUCCAUUUAGUUUAAAAUUUUGUUGAUUUAUAAAUACCUAAUAAUCAGCAUUUUUUAAUUUGUACUCACGCUUGUUGAUAAAACAAUAAACUGACAGGAAAGUGGAC
Molecule: non-coding RNA, 1874 nt
Organism: Biomphalaria pfeifferi
Lineage: Eukaryota; Metazoa; Mollusca; Gastropoda; Planorbidae
Source: the annotation of a GenBank genome assembly